GCUUACGGCCAUACCAACCUGGCUAUGCCCGAUCUCGUCUGAUCUCGGAAGCUAAGCAGGUUUGGGCCUGGUUAGUACUUGGAUGGGAGACUGCCUGUGAAUACCAGGUGCUGUAAGCU
Molecule: ribosomal RNA, 119 nt
Filed under: Carassius auratus (goldfish)
Lineage: Eukaryota; Metazoa; Chordata; Actinopteri; Cypriniformes; Cyprinidae
Source: RNAcentral